Molecule: ribosomal RNA, 1118 nt
Filed under: Psychrobacter sp.
Lineage: Bacteria; Pseudomonadati; Pseudomonadota; Gammaproteobacteria; Moraxellales; Moraxellaceae
Description: bacterial SSU rRNA
Rfam family: Bacterial small subunit ribosomal RNA
Source: RNAcentral
UUUUCUAGCUUGCUAGAAGAUGACGAGCGGCGGACGGGUGAGUAAUACUUAGGAAUCUACCUAGUAGUGGGGGAUAGCUCGGGGAAACUCGAAUUAAUACCGCAUACGACCUACGGGAGAAAGGGGGCAACUUGUUGCUCUCGCUAUUAGAUGAGCCUAAGUCGGAUUAGCUAGAUGGUGGGGUAAAGGCCUACCAUGGCGACGAUCUGUAGCUGGUCUGAGAGGAUGAUCAGCCACACCGGGACUGAGACACGGCCCGGACUCCUACGGGAGGCAGCAGUGGGGAAUAUUGGACAAUGGGGGAAACCCUGAUCCAGCCAUGCCGCGUGUGUGAAGAAGGCCUUUUGGUUGUAAAGCACUUUAAGCAGUGAAGAAGACUCUUCGGUUAAUACCCGGAGACGAUGACAUUAGCUGCAGAAUAAGCACCGGCUAACUCUGUGCCAGCAGCCGCGGUAAUACAGAGGGUGCAAGCGUUAAUCGGAAUUACUGGGCGUAAAGCGAGCGUAGGUGGCUUGAUAAGUCAGAUGUGAAAUCCCCGGGCUUAACCUGGGAACUGCAUCUGAUACUGUCAGGCUAGAGUAGGUGAGAGGAAGGUAGAAUUCCAGGUGUAGCGGUGAAAUGCGUAGAGAUCUGGAGGAAUACCGAUGGCGAAGGCAGCCUUCUGGCAUCAUACUGACACUGAGGCUCGAAAGCGUGGGUAGCAAACAGGAUUAGAUACCCUGGUAGUCCACGCCGUAAACGAUGUCUACUAGUCGUUGGGUCCCUUGAGGACUUAGUGACGCAGCUAACGCAAUAAGUAGACCGCCUGGGGAGUACGGCCGCAAGGUUAAAACUCAAAUGAAUUGACGGGGGCCCGCACAAGCGGUGGAGCAUGUGGUUUAAUUCGAUGCAACGCGAAGAACCUUACCUGGUCUUGACAUAUCUAGAAUCCUGCAGAGAUGCGGGAGUGCCUUCGGGAAUUAAAAUACAGGUGCUGCAUGGCUGUCCUCACCUCCUGUCCUGAGAUGUUUGGGUUAAGUCCCGCAACGAGCGCAACCCUUGUCCUUAUUUACCAACCGGGUUAAACCCGGGAACUCUUAAGGAUACUGGCCCUUGACAAACUUGGAGGAAAGGGGGGG